GGCCCAGUAGCGCAGUUGGUUAGCGUGCCGCCCUGUCACGGCGGAGGUCGCGGGUUCGAGUCCCGUCUGGGUCGCCA
Molecule: transfer RNA, 77 nt
Filed under: Kribbella koreensis
Lineage: Bacteria; Bacillati; Actinomycetota; Actinomycetes; Propionibacteriales; Kribbellaceae
Also listed under: 46 other names
Description: tRNA-Asp
Rfam family: tRNA
About the family: Transfer RNA (tRNA) molecules are approximately 80 nucleotides in length. Their secondary structure includes four short double-helical elements and three loops (D, anti-codon, and T loops).
Source: RNAcentral